This 495-nucleotide ribosomal RNA is filed under the name uncultured bacterium. RNAcentral's name for it is "partial 16S ribosomal RNA". It matches the Rfam family "Bacterial small subunit ribosomal RNA", at positions 30 to 507 of the family's 1533-position model. The record is from RNAcentral.
UGAACGCUGGCGGCGUGCCUCAUACAUGCAAGUCGCGCGAACAGACGAGGAGCUUGCUCCUCUAACGUUAGCGGCGGACGGGUGAGUAACACGUGGAUAACCUACCUAUAAGACUGGGAUAACUUCGGGAAACCGGAGCUAAUACCGGAUAAUAUAUUGAACCGCAUGGUUCAAUAGUGAAAGACGGUUUUGCUGUCACUUAUAGAUGGAUCCGCGCCGCAUUAGCUAGUUGGUAAGGUAACAGCUUACCAAGGCAACGAUGCGUAGCCGACCUGAGAGGGUGAUCGGCCACACUGGAACUGAGACACGGUCCAGACUCCUACGGGAGGCAGCAGUAGGGAAUCUUCCGCAAUGGGCGAAAGCCUGACGGAGCAACGCCGCGUGAGUGAUGAAGGUCUUCGGAUCGUAAAACUCUGUUAUUAGGGAAGAACAAAUGUGUAAGUAACUAUGCACGUCUUGACGGUACCUAAUCAGAAAGCCACGGCUAACUACGUG